GCCUGUAUGGCCAAGCGGUAAGGCAUCCCACUUGUAAUGGGGAGAUCGCGAGUUCGAUCCUCGCUGCGGGCU
Molecule: transfer RNA, 72 nt
Organism: Thecamonas trahens ATCC 50062
Lineage: Eukaryota; Apusomonadida; Apusomonadidae
Rfam family: tRNA
About the family: Transfer RNA (tRNA) molecules are approximately 80 nucleotides in length.
Source: Rfam